This 219-nucleotide ribosomal RNA is filed under the name Vibrio parahaemolyticus. RNAcentral's name for it is "partial 23S ribosomal RNA". It matches the Rfam family "Bacterial large subunit ribosomal RNA", at positions 35 to 256 of the family's 2925-position model. Lineage: Bacteria; Pseudomonadati; Pseudomonadota; Gammaproteobacteria; Vibrionales; Vibrionaceae. The record is from RNAcentral.
GGCAGUCAGAGGCGAUGAAAGACGUAGUAACUUGCGAUAAGCCCAGAUUAGGUAGUAACAACCAUUUGAGUCUGGGAUUUCUGAAUGGGGAAACCCACGUGCAUAAGCACGUAUCCUUACCUGAAUACAUAGGGUAAGGAGGCGAACCGGGGGAACUGAAACAUCUAAGUACCCCGAGGAAAAGAAAUCAACCGAGAUUCCGAAAGUAGCGGCGAGCGA